Rosa chinensis is the source of this 1664-nucleotide long non-coding RNA. RefSeq lists it as uncharacterized. NCBI's taxonomy places the organism in Eukaryota, Viridiplantae, Streptophyta, Magnoliopsida, Rosales, Rosaceae. The transcript is spliced from 8 exons. The record is from RefSeq and is a predicted model, not a curated record.
UACGCCGUGGCAAUGGGGUAGCCAAACUUUAAUAUUUAUCUUCGGCGAACGUUUGCAGUCGCAAACUUCCAAUGCUUGGCGACUGCGUCUAAAAUGCCGUCGCAACUAGAGAACAACUACGAGCCCAAUUCUCUUAUUAAAUCUAUUUUCUCAUAAAAAAACCCUAGCCUAUUUCUCUCAAUCCCUGUUCUCUACCGCAUCCCUCUUUCUCUUUCUCUCUGUUCUCGAUCUCACUGAAGCAGAUCGGAUCAGAACUUCCCGUCGCUGGUCCUCCGUGUUCAGUCUCUCCGCUCAGUCCUCUCUCUCUCUCGCUCAGCGGCUCAGUUGUUGUCGUUCUCUCUCUCUCUCUUAUACAUAUCACUUUGUCUCAGCGGCUCAGAACCAGAUCGGAACCGGCGGCUUCAGCUUCUUCAUCGCUCAGUAGCUCUUGCUCUCUCUUUCUCUCUGCGCGCGCGGCUGCUCUGAAGACUGAAACCAGAUCUUUCCGAACCAAAAGAAAACCCCCAAAGCCUUCUCUCUCAGCCUCUCUCACAUCUAGCCCUAAAUCGCUCUUCGUUGGGUGGAGAAAUAGAAGAGGUUGUAUAAGCUAGAGAGUUGUUGGAAAUGAAUGCUGAAGCUUUGCAAGUUGCUAAGGCAUACCGCCACCUUCUCAAAGCUGUCAAGAACCACGUUGCCAAAGAAGACACUAAGCGGCAUUUCAGAGAUUAUGUAACUGAAGAAUUUAGAUUCACAUGAAAAACCCAGAUACCAUGGAGUUUCCUACCUAAUUGAUUUUUUCCUGUGGUUUUCUUUGAAAUUUGCAGGUAUUUGAGCAAUUAUGGUUCCAGGGUAGUGGUAAACAAUUCUGGUGUGGAAGAAAACAAGGAAAAGACGGUGGUUAUCUAAAGCUUGACUUGUACGAGAAUUCUGUUAUCUAAAGUUGGGGAACUGCAUAUUUACCUUGCUAGCAAUCUAAUUUCAUGCAUAACAGAAUGUUUGCUGUAGUCUCUUCCUACUUUCAUUUUUCCUGCAGCUUUGUUGUUUUUGGGAAUUGCAGGGAUCAGCUGUGUAUAAGUUCAAGGCCUAUUGGCAAUGACGUAAUUAGCAUUUAUUUGGGAACAAUCUUCUUGCAAGGAAAGGAGAGGGCUGGAAAUCCUGAGACAUUGAGUCUAAAGCUAGGAAGUGACAUUAUUUUAACUGAAAAGGUUCAACCCUGCGGUGGUAUUUGGAGUGACAACUGCUCUUUGAAAAUGGGAAGAAGACGCCCCUUCAUACUUGCAGGAUCUCUCAUUAUCUCUGUUGCCAUGCCAUAAGUCAAUCAUUGCAAUUCUAGAGCUGCGUGCUAGGUGGGGGAACAGGAACUCAGCUAGCUUGCAUGAAUUUUGUUUUUUGGGGAAUUGCAGGUUCCAGAUGCAACUAGUGACCAUGCAUGAAAUUCGGAGAGAGUCUGUAGGAGAAGAAAGGAAUCCAGAUUCAAGCAGUGAUAGAGCAAUGGGCUGAGUUUCAAUAUGUUAUUGCAUAUUUUUGUUAAGUGUUACUCUUAGUUGUCUUCAUUAGGAACUUGAUUUUGGGCAUAUAUAACUUAAUUUGUACUUCUUCUAAUUACCUAUACUGACACUGCAACAAUUUAAUUACAUUGCAAUGAAAUAGAUGAGCUAAUGAACAAUAUAUGUGUUGUGUAUUCA